ACUCCUACGGGAGGCAGCAGUGCGGAAUAUUGGACAAUGGGCGAAAGCCUGAUCCAGCCAUGCCGCGUGUGUGAAGAAGGUCUUCGGAUUGUAAAGCACUUUAAGUUGGGAGGAAGGGCAGUAAGCUAAUACCUUGCUGUUUUGACGUUACCGACAGAAUAAGCACCGGCUAACUCUGUGCCAGCAGCCGCGGUAAUACAGAGGGUGCAAGCGUUAAUCGGAAUUACUGGGCGUAAAGGGCGCGUAGGCGGUUACAUAAGUCCGAUGUUAAAGCGUAGGGCUCAACCCUAUAAAGGCGUUGGAUACUGUGAAACUAGACUUCUGGAGAGGUAAGUGGAAUUACCAGAGUAGCGGUGAAAUGCGUAGAUACUGGUAGGAACACCCAUAGCGAAGGCAGCUUACUGGACAGAGAGUGACGCUGAGGCGCGAAAGUGUGGGGAGCAAAACCGGAUUAGAUACCCUGGUAGGUCAGU
Molecule: ribosomal RNA, 473 nt
Filed under: uncultured bacterium
Lineage: Bacteria
Description: bacterial SSU rRNA
Rfam family: Bacterial small subunit ribosomal RNA
Source: RNAcentral